Molecule: ribosomal RNA, 253 nt
Filed under: uncultured bacterium
Lineage: Bacteria
Description: partial 16S ribosomal RNA
Rfam family: Bacterial small subunit ribosomal RNA
Source: RNAcentral
UACGAAAGGUGCAAGCGUUGUUCGGAAUCAUUGGGCGUAAAGCGCACGUAGGCGGGGCUGUGUGUCGAUUGUGAAAGCCCAGGGCUCAACCCUGGAAUUGCAGUCGAAACUGCGGCUCUUGAAUACUUGAGAGGGUGGGGGAAUUCCUGGUGAAGCAGUGAAAUGCGUAGAUAUCAGGAGGAACAUCGGAGGCGAAGGCGCCUACCUGGCAAGAUAUUGACGCUGAGGUGCGAAAGCGUGGGGAGCAAACAGG